GAUGAACGCUAGCGGCGUGCCUAAUACAUGCAAGUCGAGCGAACGGACGAGAAGCUUGCUUCUCUGAUGUUAGCGGCGGACGGGUGAGUAACACGUGGAUAACCUACCUAUAAGACUGGGAUAACUUCGGGAAACCGGAGCUAAUACCGGAUAAUAUUUUGAACCGCAUGGUUCAAAAGUGAAAGACGGUCUUGCUGUCACUUAUAGAUGGAUCCGCGCUGCAUUAGCUAGUUGGUAAGGUAACGGCUUACCAAGGCAACGAUGCAUAGCCGACCUGAGAGGGUGAUCGGCCACACUGGAACUGAGACACGGUCCAGACUCCUACGGGAGGCAGCAGUAGGGAAUCUUCCGCAAUGGGCGAAAGCCUGACGGAGCAACGCCGCGUGAGUGAUGAAGGUCUUCGGAUCGUAAAACUCUGUUAUUAGGGAAGAACAUAUGUGUAAGUAACUGUGCACAUCUUGACGGUACCUAAUCAGAAAGCCACGGCUAACUACGUGCCAGCAGCCGCGGUAAUACGUAGGUGGCAAGCGUUAUCCGGAAUUAUUGGGCGUAAAGCGCGCGUAGGCGGUUUUUUAAGUCUGAUGUGAAAGCCCACGGCUCAACCGUGGAGGGUCAUUGGAAACUGGAAAACUUGAGUGCAGAAGAGGAAAGUGGAAUUCCAUGUGUAGCGGUGAAAUGCGCAGAGAUAUGGAGGAACACCAGUGGCGAAGGCGACUUUCUGGUCUGUAACUGACGCUGAUGUGCGAAAGCGUGGGGAUCAAACAGGAUUAGAUACCCUGGUAGUCCACGCCGUAAACGAUGAGUGCUAAGUGUUAGGGGGUUUCCGCCCCUUAGUGCUGCAGCUAACGCAUUAAGCACUCCGCCUGGGGAGUACGACCGCAAGGUUGAAACUCAAAGGAAUUGACGGGGACCCGCACAAGCGGUGGAGCAUGUGGUUUAAUUCGAAGCAACGCGAAGAACCUUACCAAAUCUUGACAUCCUUUGACAACUCUAGAGAUAGAGCUUUCCCCUUCGGGGGACAAAGUGACAGGUGGUGCAUGGUUGUCGUCAGCUCGUGUCGUGAGAUGUUGGGUUAAGUCCCGCAACGAGCGCAACCCUUAAGCUUAGUUGCCAUCAUUAAGUUGGGCACUCUAAGUUGACUGCCGGUGACAAACCGGAGGAAGGUGGGGAUGACGUCAAAUCAUCAUGCCCCUUAUGAUUUGGGCUACACACGUGCUACAAUGGACAAUACAAAGGGCAGCGAAACCGCGAGGUCAAGCAAAUCCCAUAAAGUUGUUCUCAGUUCGGAUUGUAGUCUGCAACUCGACUACAUGAAGCUGGAAUCGCUAGUAAUCGUAGAUCAGCAUGCUACGGUGAAUACGUUCCCGGGUCU
RNAcentral lists this ribosomal RNA (1372 nucleotides) under uncultured bacterium. RNAcentral's name for it is "bacterial SSU rRNA". It matches the Rfam family "Bacterial small subunit ribosomal RNA", at positions 28 to 1381 of the family's 1533-position model. The record is from RNAcentral.